GUUUGAUUUCGAAAAAAAUCAAUUUUUGGUGAAAAAUUCGAUCCGGGGGGUAUACCCGAAAAAUGAAAAAACCCAAACUUUGAUGGUCGAUAUCUCGACUUCUAUGGGAGCUAUCGGAAAAAUUCCAACGGUUUUGUCUUAGUUUCGUCAUUCUGAAUCCAACGAGACCAUCCGCAAGGUCGUAGCUCUUACGAUAGCCGAGAUAUGGCAUUUUUGAUGCCCAUUUUUGGCCUCAAAAACGGACGUCGAAAACGACUUUUUCAGGAUUUUCAAAGUGCUCUCAUUCCCUUAGUUCUGCUCGGAUCCUGUUAUAACCCGGUGUUUUCGUAAUCUAGGUGAUCCAAAUAAGACGCUGGUAUACUUAGUUUGAUUUCGAAAAAAAUCAAUUUUUGGUGAAAAAUUCGAUACGGGGGGGUAUACCCGAAAAACGACUUUUUCAGGAUUUUCAAAGUGCUCUCAUUCCCUUAGUUCUGCUCGGAUCCUGUUAUAACCCGGUGUUUUCGUAAUCUAGGUGAUCCAAAUAAGACGCUGGUAUACUUAGUUUGAUUUCGAAAAAAAUCAAUUUUUGGUGAAAAAUUCGAUACGGGGGGGUAUACCCGAAAAAUGAAAAAACCCAAACUUUGAUGGUUGAUAUCUCGGCUUCUAUGGGAGCUAUCGGGAAAAUUCCAACGGUUUUGUCUUAGUUUCGUCAUUCUGAAUCCAACGAGACCAUCCGCAAGGUCGUAGCUCUUACGAUAGCCGAGAUAUGGCAUUUUUGAUGCCCAUUUUUGGCCUCAAAAACGGACGUCGAAAACGACUUUUUCAGGAUUUUCAAAGUGCUCUCAUUCCCUUAGUUCUGCUCGGAUCCUGUUAUAACCCGGUGUUUUCGUAAUCUAGGUGAUCCAAAUAAGACGCUGGUAUACUUAGUUUGAUUUCGAAAAAAAUCAAUUUUUGGUGAAAAAUUCGAUACGGGGGGGUAUACCCGAAAAACGACUUUUUCAGGAUUUUCAAAGUGCUCUCAUUCCCUUAGUUCUGCUCGGAUCCUGUUAUAACCCGGUGUUUUCGUAAUCUAGGUGAUCCAAAUAAGACGCUGGUAUACUUAGUUUGAUUUCGAAAAAAAUCAAUUUUUGGUGAAAAAUUCGAUACGGGGGGGUAUACCCGAAAAAUGAAAAAACCCAAACUUUGAUGGUCGAUAUCUCGGCUUCUAUGGGAGCUAUCGGGAAAAUUCCAACAGUUUUGUCUUAGUUUCGUCAUUCUGAAUCCAACGAGACCAUCCGCAAGGUCGUAGCUCUUACGAUAGCCGAGAUAUGGCAUUUUUGAUGCCCAUUUUUGGCCUCAAAAACGGACGUCGAAAACGACUUUUUCAGGAUUUUCAAAGUGCUCUCAUUCCCUUAGUUCUGCUCGGAUCCUGUUAUAACCCGGUGUUUUCGUAAUCUAGGUGAUCCAAAUAAGACGCUGGUAUACUUAGUUUGAUUUCGAAAAAAAUCAAUUCUUGGUGAAAAAUUCGAUACGGGGGGGUAUACCCGAAAAAUGAAAAAACCCAAACUUUGAAGGUCGAUAUCUCGGCUUCUAUGGGAGCUAUCGGGAAAAUUCCAACGGUUUUGUCUUAGUUUCGUCAUUCUGAAUCCAACGAGACCAUCCGCAAGGUCGUAGCUCUUACGAUAGCCGAGAUAUGGCAUUUUUGAUGCCCAUUUUUGGCCUCAAAAACGGACGUCGAAAACGACUUUUUCAGGAUUUUCAAAGUGCUCUCAUUCCCUUAGUUCUGCUCGGAUCCUGUUAUAACCCGGUGUUUUCGUAAUCUAGGUGAUCCAAAUAAGACGCUGGUAUACUUAGUUUGAUUUCGAAAAAAAUCAAUUUUUGGUGAAAAAUUCGAUACGGGGGGGUAUACCCGAAAAACGACUUUUUCAGGAUUUUCAAAGUGCUCUCAUUCCCUUAGUUCUGCUCGGAUCCUGUUAUAACCCGGUGUUUUCGUAAUCUAGGUGAUCCAAAUAAGACGCUGGUAUACUUAGUUUGAUUUCGAAAAAAAUCAAUUUUUGGUGAAAAAUUCGAUACGGGGGGGUAUACCCGAAAAAUGAAAAAACCCAAACUUUGAUGGUUGAUAUCUCGGCUUCUAUAGGAGCUAUCGGGAAAAUUCCAACGGUUUUGUCUUAGUUUCGUCAUUCUGAAUCCAACGAGAUC
Molecule: long non-coding RNA, 2157 nt
Filed under: Anthonomus grandis grandis
Lineage: Eukaryota; Metazoa; Arthropoda; Insecta; Coleoptera; Curculionidae
Description: uncharacterized LOC126748522
Source: RNAcentral